Molecule: unclassified non-coding RNA, 299 nt
Filed under: plant metagenome
Description: partial contains 5.8S ribosomal RNA, internal transcribed spacer 2, and large subunit ribosomal RNA
Rfam family: 5.8S ribosomal RNA (bases 1-105)
Source: RNAcentral
GAAAUGCGAUAAGUAAUGUGAAUUGCAGAAUUCAGUGAAUCAUCGAAUCUUUGAACGCACAUUGCGCCCCCUGGUAUUCCGGGGGGCAUGCCUGUUCGAGCGUCAUUUCACCACUCAAGCCUCGCUUGGUAUUGGGCGACGCGGUCCGCCGCGCGCCUCAAAUCGACCGGCUGGGUCUUCCGCCCCCUCAGCGUUGUGGAAACUAUUCGCUAAAGGGUGCCGCGGGAGGUCACGCCGCAAAACAACCCCAUUUCUAAGGUUGACCUCGGAUCAGGUAGGGAUACCCGCUGAACUUAAGC